Octodon degus (degu) is the source of this 617-nucleotide RNA transcript. It is a transcript of the gene named cyclin-dependent kinases regulatory subunit 1 pseudogene, with no coding region annotated. The transcript has a single exon. Lineage: Eukaryota; Metazoa; Chordata; Mammalia; Rodentia; Octodontidae. The record is from RefSeq and is a predicted model, not a curated record.
GGAGUUGUUUCGAGGCUGGCGUUGUGGGGCUAAAGGCCCGCAGGCCGAAUGAACAAGUCGCAUAAACAAAUUUACUACUCGGACAAAUAUGACCAUGAAGAAUGUGAAUACAGGCAUGUCAUGUUGCCCAAGGAUAUAGCCAAGCUGGUUCCUAAAACCCACUUGAUGUCUGAAUCUGAAUGGAGGAAUCUUGGUGUUCAGCAGAGUCAGGAAUGGGUCCAUUAUAUGAUCCAUGAACCAGAACCUCUUGUCUUGCUGCUCCGACGGCCGCUACCCAAGAAGCCAAACAAAUGAAGCUGGCAAGCCACCUUUCAACCUCAAGCUAUACACAGCUGUCCUUCCUGCCUGAUGUCUUUCUGAUAAUACGACUAUGUUGCCUUCUCUUUUCUCAUUUUGAUAUUUAAAGGAUGUUCAAUACACUGUUUGAAUGUGCUGAUGACUGCCUUGCCUCUUGAGUGGGACCACAGCUCUGCUUGUGAGUCUCUGGGCUGCAGAUAAGCCGAGUCUGACCCGAGGAGCCGCAGUGUACUCUGUUUCCAGCAGAACACACCAGACAGGUAGAAGAAGCAUCUGAGAAGCAGACCAUGGCUUUUAGGGGAUUGUGUAAACUUGCUGUU